GAGUCUUUGAACGCAAGUUGCGCCCGAUGCCCUAGGUUGAGGGCACGCCUGCCUGGGUGUCACACGUCGUUACCCUUUUGCCUGUGCAAAGUCAGAAGAUGUUUGCCGAAUGGAGAAGUAGGUGCAAGUUGGCUUCCCAUGAAUGCAUUGUCUUGUGGUUGNCUGAAAAUUGAUUUUGUGGUUGAGCUUCACGAUAAAAUGGUGGAUGAGUAUUUGCUCGAACCAGUUGUGCGCNUUGAACCUGUGUUUGACUCGUGACCCACCCACAAACACGUCCAUGGACGUUUAUAGCNANACCUCAGGUCAUG
RNAcentral lists this ribosomal RNA (308 nucleotides) under Spathodea campanulata (African tulip tree). RNAcentral describes it as "eukaryotic LSU rRNA". The record is from RNAcentral. Lineage: Eukaryota; Viridiplantae; Streptophyta; Magnoliopsida; Lamiales; Bignoniaceae.